RNAcentral lists this ribosomal RNA (497 nucleotides) under uncultured bacterium. RNAcentral describes it as "partial 16S ribosomal RNA". It matches the Rfam family "Bacterial small subunit ribosomal RNA", at positions 28 to 506 of the family's 1533-position model. The record is from RNAcentral.
GAUGAACGCUGGCGGCGUGCCUAAUACAUGCAAGUCGAGCGAACAGACGAGGAGCUUGCUCCUCUGACGUUAGCGGCGGACGGGUGAGUAACACGUGGAUAACCUACCUAUAAGACUGGGAUAACUUCGGGAAACCGGAGCUAAUACCGGCUAAUAUAUUGAACCGCAUGGUUCAAUAGUGAAAGACGGUUUUGCUGUCACUUAUAGAUGGAUCCGCGCCGCAGUAGCUAGUUGGUAAGGUAACGGCUUACCAAGGCGACGAUGCGUAGCCGACCCGAGAGGGGUAACGGCCCACACGGGAACGGGGGCCCGACCCGGCCCCCUACGGGAGGCACAGGGGGGGAAUCUUGCCAAGUGGGGGAAGGCCGACCGAGAAAACCCCGGGGUGUUGAGGAAGGGUUUCGGUUUGAAAAACUUUUUUAUUGGGAAGAAACAAUUGUUUAAAUAACGAUGCCGGUUUGACGGGAACCUAAGAAGAAGGCCCCGGCAAACACCGG